AACGAACGCUGGCGGCAGGCCUAACACAUGCAAGUCGAGCGCCCCGCAAGGGGAGCGGCGGACGGGUGAGUAACGCGUGGGAACGUACCCUUUGCUACGGAAUAGCCUCGGGAAACUGGGAGUAAUACCGUAUGUGUCCUUCGGGGGAAAGAUUUAUCGGCAAGGGAUCGGCCCGCGUUGGAUUAGGUAGUUGGUGGGGUAAUGGCCUACCAAGCCGACGAUCCAUAGCUGGUUUGAGAGGAUGAUCAGCCACACUGGGACUGAGACACGGCCCAGACUCCCCCGGGGGGCAGGAGGGGGGAAUCUUAGAAAAGGGGCAAAACCCUGAUCUGGCCAUGCCGGGGGAGGGGUGAAGGCCUUAGGGUUGUAAAGCUCUUUCAGGGGGGAAGAUAAUGACGUUCCCCCCAAAAGAAGCCCCGGCUAACCCCGU
This 430-nucleotide ribosomal RNA is filed under the name uncultured bacterium. Its description in RNAcentral is "partial 16S ribosomal RNA". It matches the Rfam family "Bacterial small subunit ribosomal RNA", at positions 29 to 506 of the family's 1533-position model. The record is from RNAcentral.